AUUUAUUUUCGUAUUUUCUUCUCUUUUAUUUCCAUCAUUUCUUUCAACAACAAUUUCGCUAAAAGAUAAAUUCGUUUCCUGCUCGAUCUCAUUGCAAACUAAAUUAUCCGAAAGGAUAUCUCGAUCUGUUGUUGUGGCAUUUCUCUCUUCAACGUCCUUUUGUGGAAUGAAAAAUGGUAAUUCUCCCAUUUCGUAAAUAUUCUUGCAAGUUUCACUUUUUCUGUGAGCGUUAUAUACCAUCUUAUAAAAUUCAUGAAAAUUAUAUAGUUUGAGACAACAAUUUUUACAAAUAACUGUCGAUACUGGGUCAUCCUCUUUUGGCUAAAAAAAAAAUAUCAAACCCUAAAAGAUGUUUAAAUAUGUCGUGUGGUGAGUUUCUGUUAAAACACACAUUUUUGUGUUCUUUUAAAGUAUUUGGGCGUUUUUAUGUUGUUGAGUAAUUAAUGCCGUUAUUACAAAUAAUUGAAAUAAAUUAAUUUAAUAAAAAGUUUCGAUAAAUUCAUUGUUGAUGACGGAAAUUUUUGCUAGAAUUUUAUUUGUGAAUUACUUUUAUUUAUGAAUUACUACGUUUUCUAUAUUAUUUUAUUUAGAAAUUUGAACUUAUGGCUGGUGAGCCAAUUAUGUGAUUUGUAUUGUAACUUUUAAUUAUAAGUUUUAAGUCCUUUUGUAAACUCAGGGUUUUUAUUACUAAGUAAUACAUAUUUAUAUUUUGGCCUUUAAGGCUUUGUAUUGCUAUAUUGAAUA
Long non-coding RNA from Lucilia cuprina (Australian sheep blowfly), 744 nucleotides. RefSeq lists it as uncharacterized. The transcript is spliced from 3 exons. Lineage: Eukaryota; Metazoa; Arthropoda; Insecta; Diptera; Calliphoridae. The record is from RefSeq and is a predicted model, not a curated record.